RNAcentral lists this unclassified non-coding RNA (362 nucleotides) under uncultured bacterium. Its description in RNAcentral is "contains 16S-23S intergenic spacer region". The record is from RNAcentral.
UCCCCGUUACCGGGGCAGUCUGACUAGAAAAAUCCAACUAGACAAAAGGGUUGCGCUCGUUAAUGGACUUAACCAAACAUCUCACGACACGAGCUGACGACGGCCAUGCAUCACCUGUCACUACGGCCCGAAGGCACUCUCUGCUUUCGCAGUGAUUAGUAGGAUGUCAAACCUGGGUAAGGUUCUUCGCUUUGCAUCGAAUUAAACAACACGCUCCACCGCUUGUGCGGGUCCCCGUCAAUUCCUUUAUGUUUUAGCCUUGCGGCCGUACUCCACAGGCGGGAUGCUUAACGCGUUAGCUUCGCUACACAAAGGGUCGAUACUUCGUACAGCUAGCAUCCAUCGUUUACGGCGUGGACUAC